RNAcentral lists this transfer RNA (73 nucleotides) under Rigidipenna inexpectata. RNAcentral describes it as "tRNA-Asn". It matches the Rfam family "tRNA". From Rfam's summary of the family: Transfer RNA (tRNA) molecules are approximately 80 nucleotides in length. Their secondary structure includes four short double-helical elements and three loops (D, anti-codon, and T loops). Lineage: Eukaryota; Metazoa; Chordata; Aves; Caprimulgiformes; Podargidae. The record is from RNAcentral.
UAGAUGGAGGUCUGCAAGUUUUAGGCGUCUAGCUGUUAACUAGAAGUUUGUGGGAUCAAGGCCCACCCGUCUA